This 504-nucleotide ribosomal RNA is filed under the name uncultured bacterium. Its description in RNAcentral is "bacterial SSU rRNA". It matches the Rfam family "Bacterial small subunit ribosomal RNA", at positions 27 to 552 of the family's 1533-position model. The record is from RNAcentral.
GAACGAACGCUGGCGGCGUGGAUAAGACAUGCAAGUCGAACGAGAGAAUUGCUAGCUUGCUAAUAAUUCUCUAGUGGCGCACGGGUGAGUAACACGUGAGUAACCUGCCCCCGAGAACGGGAUAGCCCUGGGAAACUGGGAUUAAUACCGCAUAGUAUCGAAAGAUUAAAGCAGCAAUGCGCUUGGGGAUGGGCUCGCGGCCUAUUAGUUAGUUGGUGAGGUAACGGCUCACCAAGGCGAUGACGGGUAGCCGGUCUGAGAGGAUGUCCGGCCACACUGGAACUGAGACACGGUCCAGACACCUACGGGUGGCAGCAGUCGAGAAUCAUUCACAAUGGGGGAAACCCUGAUGGUGCGACGCCGCGUGGGGGAAUGAAGGUCUUCGGAUUGUAAACCCCUGUCAUGUGGGAGCAAAUUAAAAAGAUAGUACCACAAGAAGAAGAGACGGCUAACUCUGUGCCAGCAGCCGCGGUAAUACAGAGGUCUCAAGCGUUGUUCGGAAUC